Molecule: ribosomal RNA, 497 nt
Filed under: uncultured bacterium
Lineage: Bacteria
Description: partial 16S ribosomal RNA
Rfam family: Bacterial small subunit ribosomal RNA
Source: RNAcentral
GAUGAACGCUGGCGGCGUGCCUAAUACAUGCAAGUCGAGCGAACGGACGAGAAGCUUGCUUCUCUGAUGUUAGCGGCGGACGGGUGAGUAACACGUGGAUAACCUACCUAUAAGACUGGGAUGACUUCGGGAAACCGGAGCUAAUACCGGAUAAUAUUUUGAACCGCAUGGUUCAAAAGUGAAAGACGGUCUUGCUGUCACUUAUAGAUGGAUCCGCGCUGCAUUAGCUAGUUGGUAAGGUAACGGCUUACCAAGGCAACGAUGCAUAGCCGACCUGAGAGGGUGAUCGGCCACACUGGAACUGAGACACGGUCCAGACUCCUACGGGAGGCAGCAGUAGGGAAUCUUCCGCAAUGGGCGAAAGCCUGACGGAGCAACGCCGCGUGAGUGAUGAAGGUCUUCGGAUCGUAAAACUCUGUUAUUAGGGAAGAACACAUGUGUAAGUAACUGUGCACAUCUUGACGGUACCUAAUCAGAAAGCCACGGCUAACUACGUG